RNAcentral lists this transfer RNA (84 nucleotides) under Candidatus Spechtbacteria bacterium SB0662_bin_43. RNAcentral's name for it is "tRNA-Leu". It matches the Rfam family "tRNA". From Rfam's summary of the family: Transfer RNA (tRNA) molecules are approximately 80 nucleotides in length. Their secondary structure includes four short double-helical elements and three loops (D, anti-codon, and T loops). The record is from RNAcentral. Lineage: Bacteria; Candidatus Spechtiibacteriota.
GCCGCAGUGGUGGAACUGGCAGACACGCUAGUCUUAGGAACUAGUGCCCUUUGAGGCGUGAGAGUUCGAAUCUCUCCUGCGGCA